AGAGGGAGAAGCGAAAGGGAAAAGAAAAGCAUCCCCCAAUAUCCCGUUUUUUUCCUGCUCGGGCAGCGAGCCCCGGAGCUCCCAAAGUGAGCGGCGAAGAGGGCGACGGGAGACGGGCGGGAGCCGGCUCCGAGGUGGAGGGGUCGGGGGUGGGAUGAGAAUAGGGGAGGACCGUCCUUUUCGGGAUCAAGGGAGAACCAGCGAGGGAAGGAGGCUGGCGGCACCACAGGCAUCCGAGGUUUUCGACUCUGGGUGAGCAAAAGGAUUUCUUACACUCUCUUGGAAGAGGCGAAGACGCGCUUUUUCCCCCCUCUCUUUUUCCUUUUUUUUUCUUUUUUCUUUUUUUUUUUUUUUAAUGGUGUUAAUUGCUUUUAAAAUAAAAUACGACGGAAUUUGGCAACGA
Pseudopipra pipra is the source of this 403-nucleotide long non-coding RNA. RefSeq lists it as uncharacterized. The transcript has 2 exons. NCBI's taxonomy places the organism in Eukaryota, Metazoa, Chordata, Aves, Passeriformes, Pipridae. The record is from RefSeq and is a predicted model, not a curated record.